GUCAGCUUUAGCCUUGAGCAGAACUCUAACAAGUUCUCUUCCCUCUAUCUCACGGUCUUUCUUAAGAGCAGCUGCCAUGCAUAAAGCAGUUCCUGUGGAACUUGGUAUAUCAAUAGCUUCAGAAAUCUCCUCAGGUGACGCAAGUUCAGCCCACUUCUUAACAACAUCUACAUUUAAGGUUGUGAUGCACAUAUGCAGAGGCGUUAAGUUUUUUGAAUUGAG
Molecule: unclassified non-coding RNA, 222 nt
Filed under: Hevea brasiliensis (rubber tree)
Lineage: Eukaryota; Viridiplantae; Streptophyta; Magnoliopsida; Malpighiales; Euphorbiaceae
Source: RNAcentral